AAUACUGCAAAGUUUGGGAUCCACAGUCUACAAAACCCCACAUCCCCUGAGAAUUCUCUCGCCUGCCUUAGGCACUUAGGCUCCGGGAGAUUGCAAAUAACCUGCUUUCUUUCUGUUCCCGGGCUGCGUUCGGACUCCUGUCAGAUAGUAAAUCCUAAGUAAGGUGGCGUCGGACCCCUGUCAGAGAGUAAAUCUCAAGUAAGGUACCUGCCAUCGGCAGAUUUGAGCUUUCUUCUUGGACACCUAAUACCCACAGUCCUCCAGGCUCCGGUAGACUGCAAAUGACCUGCUUUCUUUCUGUUCCCGGGCUGCGUUUGGACCCCUGUCGGAUAGUAAAUCCCAAGUAAGGUACCUGCCCUCGGCAGAUUUGAGCUUUCUUCUUGGACACCUAAUACCCACAGUCCCCCAGGCUCCGGUAGACUGCAAAUGACCUGCUUUCUUUCUGUUCCCGGGCUGCGUUUGGACCCCUGUCGGACAGUAAAUCCCAAGUAAGGUACCUGCCCUCGGCAGAUUUGAGCUUUCUUCUUGGACACCUAAUACCCACAGUCCUCCAGGAUAACUUCAGGAAGUGGGUAUUAAUUCUCACGGUAUAAGUGAAGACAUUAAGCACCAGAGUUUAAGUAGCUUGAUCCACUGAAAGAGAUUCAACUGUGUGGAACCUAUGCCGUGGAGAAUUGCUUUCUGCCAUUGUUAUCGUCCAGCAGUUGCCGAAUAGCUCUGACCUGAGCAAAGCAGUGAAACGCGGUGCUGUUGAGUGGGUUGCCACUGCACCUUUUUCAACUACUCUAGUCUUGUGGAGAAAAUACCCCUUCUAAAUUUUUUCUUCAUUGAAUACUCUCCCUCAGCUCCAGAGUACCAUAUAGAGUUUUCUUGUAUUUUAGAGUUACUGUUUUAUCAAAGUUUACCAGUCUUUUGUAUUACAUUUCUCCUGUCUAAAUCGACUGUGUGGUUUCUACUCAUUAUGGAUAUAGAUUGAUACAAACUCAAUAAAUAUUUUUGAAUGAAUAA
This 1008-nucleotide long non-coding RNA is filed under the name Homo sapiens (human). Its description in RNAcentral is "long intergenic non-protein coding RNA 1198". Lineage: Eukaryota; Metazoa; Chordata; Mammalia; Primates; Hominidae. The record is from RNAcentral.